RNAcentral lists this ribosomal RNA (283 nucleotides) under uncultured soil bacterium. RNAcentral's name for it is "partial 16S ribosomal RNA". It matches the Rfam family "Bacterial small subunit ribosomal RNA", at positions 26 to 310 of the family's 1533-position model. The record is from RNAcentral.
AGAUUGAACGCUGGCGGCAGGCCUAACACAUGCAAGUCGAGCGGUAGAGAGGUGCUUGCACCUCUUGAGAGCGGCGGACGGGUGAGUAAUGCCUAGGAAUCUGCCUAGUGGUGGGGGAUAACGUUCGGAAACGGACGCUAAUACCGCAUACGUCCUACGGGAGAAAGCGGGGGACCUUCGGGCCUCGCGCCGAUUAGAUGAGCCUAGGUCGGAUUAGCUAGUUGGUGAGGUAAUGGCUCACCAAGGCGACGAUCCGUAACUGGUCUGAGAGGAUGAUCAGUCA